This 253-nucleotide ribosomal RNA is filed under the name uncultured bacterium. RNAcentral's name for it is "partial 16S ribosomal RNA". It matches the Rfam family "Bacterial small subunit ribosomal RNA", at positions 524 to 776 of the family's 1533-position model. The record is from RNAcentral.
UACAGAGGAGCCAAGCGUUGUCCGGAUUUACUGGGCGUAAAGAGCGCGUAGGCGGCUCGUUAAGUGAGACGUGAAAGCUGUGGGCUCAACCCACAAACCGCUUUUCAUACUGGCGAGCUGGAGUGAUGCAGAGGUGGAUAGAAUUCCCGGUGUAGCGGUGAAAUGCGUUGAUAUCGGGAGGAAUACCCGUGGCGAAGGCGGUCCACUGGGCAGCAACUGACGCUGAGGCGCGAAAGCGUGGGUAGCAAACAGG